UAUCUCGCCGGCACGGAAAUAAAGGUGGGUAGAAAACAAAAAAUGACCAAUGGAGCAUAAUUUAUAACAAACUCGUUUAUUAACAUAAAAAUCUUUACUGUCCACUUACAUCGGUGAGAUCCAUGAAAACAACAUGUGAAAGCAAUAACAUCAUCAUUAUCAUGAAAUCAUAUAAACUUUAUAACAUAACACUUAUCAUGCCUUUGCAUUUUAAUCAUUAAACAACAUAUUUUCCUCUUUAACCAGCCUACUAGUAUCCACGGGGAUCCAUAGGGGUCCCGCUACCCGUGAACCCUUAACAUUUAUAACCUGAUUCCAGAGCUGUCCCCAUACCCCGUCCAGUAUAGGCGGCAAAACCAUGAACCUUAAUACCCCGUCCGGUAUGAGGGUGAAACGGGCCGUCCCCAUACCCUGUCCGGUAAGGGUGCCAAAAUAUAUAAGGCCUCCAUACUCCGUCCGGUAUGAGAGACCACGUUCCCGGUAGGGUUCCCUACGGACCCGGUCCGUCCACCAUCUCCCAGGAUAUCUAGUCAGGCUGUCCACAUUUUUCACUUAUCAAUUCACAUAACCUUUUUGCCCUUUUCCUUUAUCUCAAUCAUCUAAUCAUACACAAACAUGUAAACCAGUCAUCGACACCAAACAAGACAACACAGUAUCGGGUUAAGCAUAAUACCAACCAUAAUAAAAGAAACUAUGAUUCAUGCAUACGAGACCAUAAUAUAAUUACAUCAAAUAAUAUGCUGCAUUUAAUACUGAAAAUUAGAUCAAACAAUAACAGACCAACACUAUAUCAGACUCGGGCUCCAUUGACAACCUUAAUCAAUUAUACAUCUAUAAAGUCACACCAUACAGUUUAAUUAUUUAUUUAGCUUUAAUACCGUGAUAGAAAACAGGGUGAGGGGUCCUUACUUGUUUCGGGGUCUGAAUACGGCUCUACAGUGCGCCUACAGGCUGUCCUUAAUUUUUCUGAAUUUUUUACCGGAAAACUGAAACGCACUAUCGGUACCUGCACGUGUCCCAAAAAAU
Molecule: long non-coding RNA, 1026 nt
Filed under: Carica papaya (papaya)
Lineage: Eukaryota; Viridiplantae; Streptophyta; Magnoliopsida; Brassicales; Caricaceae
Description: long non-coding RNA (CPAP_LNC003109)
Source: RNAcentral